This 1157-nucleotide ribosomal RNA is filed under the name Salmonella enterica subsp. enterica. RNAcentral describes it as "partial 23S ribosomal RNA". It matches the Rfam family "Bacterial large subunit ribosomal RNA", at positions 1 to 1190 of the family's 2925-position model. Lineage: Bacteria; Pseudomonadati; Pseudomonadota; Gammaproteobacteria; Enterobacterales; Enterobacteriaceae. The record is from RNAcentral.
GGGUUGUGAGGUUAAGCGACUAAGCGUACACGGUGGAUGCCCUGGCAGUCAGAGGCGAUGAAGGGCGUGCUAAUCUGCGAUAAGCGCCGGUAAGGUGAUAUGAACCGUUAUAACCGGCGAUACCCGAAUGGGGAAACCCAGUGUGAUUCGUCACACUAUCAUUAACUGAAUCCAUAGGUUAAUGAGGCGAACCGGGGGAACUGAAACAUCUAAGUACCCCGAGGAAAAGAAAUCAACCGAGAUUCCCCCAGUAGCGGCGAGCGAACGGGGAGGAGCCCAGAGCCUGAAUCAGCAUGUGUGUUAGUGGAAGCGUCUGGAAAGGCGCGCGAUACAGGGUGACAGCCCCGUACACAAAAGCGCAUGUGCUGUGAGCUCGAUGAGUAGGGCGGGACACGUGGUAUCCUGUCUGAAUAUGGGGGGACCAUCCUCCAAGGCUAAAUACUCCUGACUGACCGAUAGUGAACCAGUACCGUGAGGGAAAGGCGAAAAGAACCCCGGCGAGGGGAGUGAAAAAGAACCUGAAACCGUGUACGUACAAGCAGUGGGAGCACCCUUUGGGGUGUGACUGCGUACCUUUUGUAUAAUGGGUCAGCGACUUAUAUUCUGUAGCAAGGUUAACCGAAUAGGGGAGCCGGAGGGAAACCGAGUCUUAAUUGGGCGUUAAGUUGCAGGGUAUAGACCCGAAACCCGGUGAUCUAGCCAUGGGCAGGUUGAAGGUUGGGUAACACUAACUGGAGGACCGAACCGACUAAUGUUGAAAAAUUAGCGGAUGACCUGUGGCUGGGGGUGAAAGGCCAAUCAAACCGGGAGAUAGCUGGUUCUCCCCGAAAGCUAUUUAGGUAGCGCCUCGUGAAUUCAUCUCCGGGGGUAGAGCACUGUUUCGGCUAGGGGGCCAUCCCGGCUUACCAACCCGAUGCAAACUGCGAAUACCGGAGAAUGUUAUCACGGGAGACACACGGCGGGUGCUAACGUCCGUCGUGAAGAGGGAAACAACCCAGACCGCCAGCUAAGGUCCCAAAGUCAUGGUUAAGUGGGAAACGAUGUGGGAAGGCCCAGACAGCCAGGAUGUUGGCUUAGAAGCAGCCAUCAUUUAAAGAAAGCGUAAUAGCUCACUGGUCGAGUCGGCCUGCGCGGAAGAUGUAACGGGGCUAAACCAU